GACGAACGCUGGCGGCGUGCUUAACACAUGCAAGUCGAACGGAAAGGCCCAGUUUUGCUGGGGUCCUCGAGUGGCGAACGGGUGAGUAACACGUGGGUAACCUGCCCUGCACUUCGGGAUAAGUCUGGGAAACUGGGUCUAAUACCGGAUAGGACCACUUCGUGGUUGUUGGGGUGGGAAAGUUUUGGGGGGUGGGGUGGGCUCGCGGGCUUUAAGCUUGUUGGGGGGGGGAUGGCCUACCAAGGGGUUGGAGGGUGGCCGGGCUGGGAGGGGGUGCGGGAGCAUGGGGACUGAGAAGCGGCCCAGACGCCUACGGGAGGCAGCAGGGGGGAAUAUUGCACAAUGGGCGGAAGCCUGAUGCAGCGACGCGGGGGGGGGGAAGACGGCCUUCGGGUGGUAAACUCCUUUCGGCAAAGACGAAUUUAGGACGGUAUUUGGAGAAGAAGCACCGGCUAACUACGUG
This 463-nucleotide ribosomal RNA is filed under the name uncultured bacterium. Its description in RNAcentral is "partial 16S ribosomal RNA". It matches the Rfam family "Bacterial small subunit ribosomal RNA", at positions 28 to 507 of the family's 1533-position model. The record is from RNAcentral.